UGGAGCAGGCUCAGCAGGGGCUGCUGGCAAGGGAGUGCAGCUAAGUCCCCUGCUAUUUCUGCAAGGGAUGAUAUGGAAAGUUGGAUGGGGCGGGGGAAUAAGCAGUGCAUUUUUAAAACGCGCUUUUAAAACAUACCAGCAUGGAUCCCACAUACCCACUUACAUCUCACCGUGCAAAGAGGUUUGCUGCAGCCGUUAAUCCAUCUUGGUGUUCAUACGGAGCUUUUAAGGAAGUUGUACCCGUCAGCACCUGCUGAGGGCUUCGUUGACCAAACUGACAGAUGGCUUUUGGAGAAUUUGGCAGUCUUGUUCUUAUUGGAUUAUGGGGCACCACUUUCAGAUAAAAACAUGGACCUGAUUGGCAUCAUCCAGUAUCCAUAGAAACCCUGCUGCGACUGUCUCCCGAUCUACCCUGGCAUCCCCCUCGCAGAGGCUGGCACAGAUUAGGCGGAGAAAGAAAAGGACACAGGACGACAUGUUCUCAGAACUUAUGGGCUGCUCCCGAGCCGAUGCGGCCCAGCAGACCCAGUGGAGGGAGAACAUGUCGCAAUACCAGCGAGCACACAGCAAACGGGAGGAGAGGUGGUGGCAGGAAGACCAGCAGGCGACUCAAACGCUGCUUGGACUAAUGAGGGAGCAAACAGACACGCUCCGGCGCCUUGUGGAUGUUCUGCAGGACCGGAGACAGGAGGACAGAGCUCUGCUGCAGUCUAUCUCUAACCGCCCUCCCCCGCCACAAACUCCCAUACCCCCCUCACCCAAAGUCCCAAGAAGGAGGGGUGGCAGGGGCCGUGAAAACUGUCACUCCACCCCUGCAGACUUCUCAAGUACCAGAAGGCUCUCAUUCCCAAAAAUUUGAUAAGUCCUUUCCUUCCCGCCUCACCCAAGCCCCCGUCCCAGUUUCAUCCCCUAACUGUAUAGUUGCUAAUAAAAGAUACGUUUCUGUUAA
This is a long non-coding RNA of Malaclemys terrapin pileata, 949 nucleotides long. RefSeq lists it as uncharacterized. NCBI's taxonomy places the organism in Eukaryota, Metazoa, Chordata, Testudines, Emydidae. The transcript has 6 exons. The record is from RefSeq and is a predicted model, not a curated record.